Molecule: ribosomal RNA, 819 nt
Filed under: uncultured bacterium
Lineage: Bacteria
Description: bacterial SSU rRNA
Rfam family: Bacterial small subunit ribosomal RNA
Source: RNAcentral
AAUGUAGCGGUGAAAUGCUUAGAUAUUACACAGAACACCAAUUGCGAAGGCAGCUCACUAAGCUGUUACUGACGCUGAGGCACGAAAGCGUGGGGAGCAAACAGGAUUAGAUACCCUGGUAGUCCACGCUGUAAACGAUGAUCACUCGUUGUUGGCGAUACACUGUCAGCGACUGAGCGAAAGCAAUAAGUGAUCCACCUGGGGAGUACGGUCGCAAGACUGAAACUCAAAGGAAUUGACGGGGGGCCCGCACAAGCGGAGGAACAUGUGGUUUAAUUCGAUGAUACGCGAGGAACCUUACCUGGGCUUGAAAGGGGAUCGACCUCCCGGGAAACCGGGAUUCUCUUCGGAGCGAUCUCCUAGGUGCUGCAUGGUUGUCGUCAGCUCGUGCCGUGAGGUGUCGGGUUAAGUCCCAUAACGAGCGCAACCCCUAUUGUUAGUUGCCAGCGGGUAAUGCCGGGAACUCUAACGAAACUGCCGGUGUAAACCGUGAGGAAGGUGGGGAUGACGUCAAAUCAGCACGGCCCUUAUGUCCAGGGCUACACACGUGUUACAAUGGCCGGUACAAAGGGCAGCUACUUGGUGACAAGAUGCUAAUCUCGAAAACCGGUCUCAGUUCGGAUCGAAGUCUGCAACUCGACUUCGUGAAGCUGGAUUCGCUAGUAAUCGCGCAUCAGCAAUGGCGCGGUGAAUACGUUCCCGGGCCUUGUACACACCGCCCGUCAAGCCAUGGAAGCUGGGAGUACCUGAAGUCUGCAACCGUAAGGAGCGGCCUAGGGUAAAACCAGUGACUGGGGCUAAGUCGUAACAAGGUAAAGG